GAUGAACGCUGGCGGCGUGCCUAAUACAUGCAAGUCGAGCGAACAGACGAGGAGCUUGCUCCUCUGACGUUAGCGGCGGACGGGUGAGUAACACGUGGAUAACCUACCUAUAAGACUGGGAUAACUUCGGGAAACCGGAGCUAAUACCGGAUAAUAUAUUGAACCGCAUGGUUCAAUAGUGAAAGACGGUUUUGCUGUCACUUAUAGAUGGAUCCGCGCCGCAUUAGCUAGUUGGUAGGUAACGGCUUACCAAGGCAACGAUGCGUAGCCGACCUGAGAGGGUGAUCGGCCACACUGGAACUGAGACACGGUCCAGACUCCUACGGGAGGCAGCAGUAGGGAAUCUUCCGCAAUGGGCGAAAGCCUGACGGAGCAACGCCGCGUGAGUGAUGAAGGUCUUCGGAUCGUAAAACUCUGUUAUUAGGGAAGAACUAAUGUGUAAGUAACUAUGCACGUCUUGACGGUACCUAAUCAGAAAGCCACGGCUAACUACGUG
Molecule: ribosomal RNA, 496 nt
Filed under: uncultured bacterium
Lineage: Bacteria
Description: partial 16S ribosomal RNA
Rfam family: Bacterial small subunit ribosomal RNA
Source: RNAcentral